This 271-nucleotide ribosomal RNA is filed under the name Xenorhabdus szentirmaii. Its description in RNAcentral is "partial 23S ribosomal RNA". It matches the Rfam family "Bacterial large subunit ribosomal RNA", at positions 2655 to 2925 of the family's 2925-position model. RNAcentral also lists the same sequence under 1 other name. Lineage: Bacteria; Pseudomonadati; Pseudomonadota; Gammaproteobacteria; Enterobacterales; Morganellaceae. The record is from RNAcentral.
AGGAAAUUUGAGAGGAGCUGUCCUUAGUACGAGAGGACCGGGAUGGACGCACCGCUGGUGUACCAGUUGUUCUGCCAAGGGCAUAGCUGGGUAGCUAUGUGCGGAAGGGAUAAGUGCUGAAAGCAUCUAAGCAUGAAGCCCCCCUCAAGAUGAGAUUUCCCAUAGCGUAAGCUAGUAAGAUCCCUGAAAGAUGAUCAGGUUGAUAGGUUCGAGGUGGAAGCAUGGUGACAUGUGGAGCUGACGAAUACUAAUAGAUCGAGGACUUAACCAU